GUGAACGCUGGCGGUAGGCCUAACACCUGCAAGUCGAACGGCAGCACCGUAAGAGCUUGCUCUUACGGGUGGCGAGUGGCGGACGGGUGAGGAAUACAUCGGAAUCUACUUUUUCGUGGGGGAUAACGUAGGGAAACUUACGCUAAUACCGCAUACGACCUACGGGUGAAAGCAGGGGAUCUUCGGACCUUGCGCGAUUGAAUGAGCCGAUGUCGGAUUAGCUAGUUGGCGGGGUAAAGGCCCACCAAGGCGACGAUCCGUAGCUGGUCUGAGAGGAUGAUCAGCCACACUGGAACUGAGACACGGCCCAGACUCCUACGGGAGGCAGCAGUGGGGAAUAUUGGACAAUGGGCGCAAGCCUGAUCCAGCCAUACCGCGUGGGUGAAGAAGGCCUUCGGGUUGUAAAGCCCUUUUGUUGGGAAAGAAAAGCAGCAGGUUAAUACCCCGCUGUUCUGACGGUACCCAAAGAAUAAGCACCGGCUAACUUCGUG
Molecule: ribosomal RNA, 491 nt
Filed under: uncultured bacterium
Lineage: Bacteria
Description: partial 16S ribosomal RNA
Rfam family: Bacterial small subunit ribosomal RNA
Source: RNAcentral